This 254-nucleotide ribosomal RNA is filed under the name uncultured bacterium. RNAcentral's name for it is "partial 16S ribosomal RNA". It matches the Rfam family "Bacterial small subunit ribosomal RNA", at positions 524 to 776 of the family's 1533-position model. The record is from RNAcentral.
UACGGGGGGGGCAAGCGUUGUUCGGAAUUACUGGGCGUAAAGGGCUUGUAGGUGGCCAACUAAGUCAGACGUGAAAUCCCUCGGCUUAACCGGGGAACUGCGUCUGAUACUGGAUGGCUGGAGUGUGGGAGAGGGAUGCGGAAUUCCAGGUGUAGCGGUGAAAUGCGUAGAUAUCUGGAGGAACACCGGUGGCGAAGGCGGCUUCCUGGACCGAUCACUGACGCUGAGGCGCGAAAGCUAGGGGAGCAAACGGG